Sinocyclocheilus rhinocerous is the source of this 171-nucleotide long non-coding RNA. RefSeq lists it as uncharacterized. The transcript is spliced from 3 exons. NCBI's taxonomy places the organism in Eukaryota, Metazoa, Chordata, Actinopteri, Cypriniformes, Cyprinidae. The record is from RefSeq and is a predicted model, not a curated record.
UGGUUUGGGUUUUCUAUUCCGUUCUCUGUUUAAACCCAGUUCGGGUGUAGCGAGAUAUGUCAUAGCGGGAGCUCUUUCAUAUCAGUCGGAUUGACCCAGUUGAGGGGAAGUGCCUAUCGGCUUAUGUCCAGCGUGGAGCCGUGGAGUAGGUCAAUAUUUGGCAGGACGUAU